GACGAACGCUGGCGGCGUGCCUAAUACAUGCAAGUAGAACGCUGAAGGAGGAGCUUGCUUCUCUGGAUGAGUUGCGAACGGGUGAGUAACGCGUAGGUAACCUGCCUGGUAGCGGGGGAUAACUAUUGGAAACGAUAGCUAAUACCGCAUAAGAGUAGAUGUUGCAUGACAUUUGCUUAAAAGGUGCAAUUGCAUCACUACCAGAUGGACCUGCGUUGUAUUAGCUAGUUGGUGGGGUAACGGCUCACCAAGGCGACGAUACAUAGCCGACCUGAGAGGGUGAUCGGCCACACUGGGACUGAGACACGGCCCAGACUCCUACGGGAGGCAGCAGUAGGGAAUCUUCGGCAAUGGACGGAAGUCUGACCGAGCAACGCCGCGUGAGUGAAGAAGGUUUUCGGAUCGUAAAGCUCUGUUGCAAGAGAAGAACGAGUGUGAGAGUGGAAAGUUCACACUGUGACGGUAUCUUACCAGAAAGGAACGGCUAACUACGUG
RNAcentral lists this ribosomal RNA (495 nucleotides) under uncultured bacterium. RNAcentral describes it as "partial 16S ribosomal RNA". It matches the Rfam family "Bacterial small subunit ribosomal RNA", at positions 28 to 507 of the family's 1533-position model. The record is from RNAcentral.